CUACGGGUCGCAGCAGUGAGGAAUAUUGCACAAUGGGGGGAACCCUGAUGCAGCAACGCCGCGUGGAGGAUGACGCAUUUCGGUGUGUAAACUCCUUUUAUAUGUCAAGACAAUGACGGUAGCAUAUGAAUAAGCACCGGCUAACUCCGUGCCAGCAGCCGCGGUAAUACGGAGGGUGCAAGCGUUACUCGGAAUCACUGGGCGUAAAGGACGCGUAGGCGGGUUGGAAAGUCAGGUGUGAAAUCCUACAGCUUAACUGUAGAACUGCACUUGAAACUUCUAAUCUAGAGUAUGGGAGGGGGAGAUGGAAUUAGUGGUGUAGGGGUAAAAUCCGUAGAUAUCACGAGGAAUACCUAAAGCGAAGGCGAUCUCCUGGAACAUUACUGACGCUAAGGCGUGAAAGCGUGGGGAGCAAACAGGAUUAGAUACCCUCGUAGUC
RNAcentral lists this ribosomal RNA (439 nucleotides) under uncultured bacterium. RNAcentral describes it as "partial 16S ribosomal RNA". It matches the Rfam family "Bacterial small subunit ribosomal RNA", at positions 339 to 795 of the family's 1533-position model. The record is from RNAcentral.